This 477-nucleotide ribosomal RNA is filed under the name Triticum aestivum (bread wheat). Its description in RNAcentral is "partial small subunit ribosomal RNA". Lineage: Eukaryota; Viridiplantae; Streptophyta; Magnoliopsida; Poales; Poaceae. The record is from RNAcentral.
AUGGCGAAACCCUCCCAAUCCCGCCUCCUCCUCGUCUUCCCCGUCGCCGCCGUCCUCGCCGCGGCCUUCCUCCUCCCGCUCGCCCGCUCCGACGCCUCCGGGCCCAACCCCACCGCCUACGACGAGCUCCGCCUCCGCGGCUUCCCGCGCGGCCUGCUCCCGGCCAACGUUCGCGGGUACACGCUCGACGCCGGCUCGGGGGACUUCGCCGUCGACCUCGACUCCAGCUGCCGCAUCGUGCUGCCGGCGGGGAGCUACCUCGCCAACUUCAACGACCACCUCACCGGCCACCUCGACGACCGUCGCAUCUCCGGCCUCAGCGGCAUCCGCGUCAGGGCUUUCUUCCGCUGGUGGUCCAUCACCGGGAUCCGCGCCGAUGGAGACGAGCUCGUCUUCGAGGUGGGCUCCGUCUCCGCCAAGUUCCCCGCCCGCCACUUCAACGCCAGCCUCGAAUGCCCCGCCAAGGCCGACUCUUAG